GGUUAAGCGACUAAGCGUACACGGUGGAUGCCCUGGCAGUCAGAGGCGAUGAAGGACGUGCUAAUCUGCGAAAAGCGUCGGUAAGGUGAUAUGAACCGUUAUAACCGGCGAUGUCCGAAUGGGGAAACCCAGUGUGAUUCGUCACACUAUCGUUAACUGAAUACAUAGGUUAACGAGGCGAACCGGGGGAACUGAAACAUCUAAGUACCCCGAGGAAAAGAAAUCAACCGAGAUUCCCCCAGUAGCGGCGAGCGAACGGGGAGCAGCCCAGAGUCUGAAUCAGCUUGUGUGUUAGUGGAACGGUCUGGAAAGUCCGACGGUACAGGGUGAUAGUCCCGUACACCAAAAUGCACAGGCUGUGAACUCGAAGAGUAGGGCGGGACACGUGGUAUCCUGUCUGAAUAUGGGGGGACCAUCCUCCAAGGCUAAAUACUCCUGACUGACCGAUAGUGAACCAGUACCGUGAGGGAAAGGCGAAAAGAACCCCGGCGAGGGGAGUGAAAAAGAACCUGAAACCGUGUACGUACAAGCAGUGGGAGCACCUUCGGGUGUGACUGCGUACCUUUUGUAUAAUGGGUCAGCGACUUAUAUUCUGUAGCAAGGUUAACCGGAUAGGGGAGCCGCAGGGAAACCGAGUCUUAACUGGGCGUUAAGUUGCAGGGUAUAGACCCGAAACCCGGUGAUCUAGCCAUGGGCAGGUUGAAGGUUGGGUAACACUAACUGGAGGACCGAACCGACUAAUGUUGAAAAAUUAGCGGAUGACUUGUGGCUGGGGGUGAAAGGCCAAUCAAACCGGGAGAUAGCUGGUUCUCCCCGAAAGCUAUUUAGGUAGCGCCUCGUGAAUUCAUCUUCGGGGGUAGAGCACUGUUUCGGCUAGGGGGUCAUCCCGACUUACCAACCCGAUGCAAACUACGAAUACCGAAGAAUGUUAUCACGGGAGACACACGGCGGGUGCUAACGUCCGUCGUGAAGAGGGAAACAACCCAGACCGCCAGCUAAGGUCCCAAAGUCAUGGUUAAGUGGGAAACGAUGUGGGAAGGCACAGACAGCCAGGAUGUUGGCUUAGAAGCAGCCAUCAUUUAAAGAAAGCGUAAUAGCUCACUGGUCGAGUCGGCCUGCGCGGAAGAUGUAACGGGGCUAAACCAUGCACCGAAGCUGCGGCAGCGACACUAUGUGUUGUUGGGUAGGGGAGCGUUCUGUAAGCCUGCGAAGGUGACCUGUGAGGGUUGCUGGAGGUAUCAGAAGUGCGAAUGCUGACAUAAGUAACGAUAAAGCGGGUGAAAAGCCCGCUCGCCGGAAGACCAAGGGUUCCUGUCCAACGUUAAUCGGGGCAGGGUGAGUCGACCCCUAAGGCGAGGCCGAAAGGCGUAGUCGAUGGGAAACAGGUUAAUAUUCCUGUACUUGGUGUUACUGCGAAGGGGGGACGGAGAAGGCUAUGUUAGCCGGGCGACGGUUGUCCCGGUUUAAGCAUGUAGGCUGGUUGUCCAGGCAAAUCCGGAUAAUCAAGGCUGAGGUGUGAUGACGAGGCACUACGGUGCUGAAGUAACAAAUGCCCUGCUUCCAGGAAAAGCCUCUAAGCAUCAGGUAACAUCAAAUCGUACCCCAAACCGACACAGGUGGUCAGGUAGAGAAUACCAAGGCGCUUGAGAGAACUCGGGUGAAGGAACUAGGCAAAAUGGUGCCGUAACUUCGGGAGAAGGCACGCUGGUGUGUAGGUGAAGUCCCUGCGGAUGGAGCUGAGACCAGUCGAAGAUACCAGCUGGCUGCAACUGUUUAUUAAAAACACAGCACUGUGCAAACACGAAAGUGGACGUAUACGGUGUGACGCCUGCCCGGUGCCGGAAGGUUAAUUGAUGGGGUUAUCCGUAAGGAGAAGCUCUUGAUCGAAGCCCCGGUAAACGGCGGCCGUAACUAUAACGGUCCUAAGGUAGCGAAAUUCCUUGUCGGGUAAGUUCCGACCUGCACGAAUGGCGUAAUGAUGGCCAGGCUGUCUCCACCCGAGACUCAGUGAAAUUGAACUCGCUGUGAAGAUGCAGUGUACCCGCGGCAAGACGGAAAGACCCCGUGAACCUUUACUAUAGCUUGACACUGAACAUUGAGCCUUGAUGUGUAGGAUAGGUGGGAGGCUUUGAAGCGUGGACGCCAGUCUGCGUGGAGCCAACCUUGAAAUACCACCCUUUAAUGUUUGAUGUUCUAACGUUGGCCCCUGACCGGGGUUGCGGACAGUGUCUGGUGGGUAGUUUGACUGGGGCGGUCUCCUCCCAAAGCGUAACGGAGGAGCACGAAGGUUAGCUAAUCCUGGUCGGACAUCAGGAGGUUAGUGCAAUGGCAUAAGCUAGCUUGACUGCGAGCGUGACGGCGCGAGCAGGUGCGAAAGCAGGUCAUAGUGAUCCGGUGGUUCUGAAUGGAAGGGCCAUCGCUCAACGGAUAAAAGGUACUCCGGGGAUAACAGGCUGAUACCGCCCAAGAGUUCAUAUCGACGGCGGUGUUUGGCACCUCGAUGUCGGCUCAUCACAUCCUGGGGCUGAAGUAGGUCCCAAGGGUAUGGCUGUUCGCCAUUUAAAGUGGUACGCGAGCUGGGUUUAGAACGUCGUGAGACAGUUCGGUCCCUAUCUGCCGUGGGCGCUGGAGAAUUGAGGGGGGCUGCUCCUAGUACGAGAGGACCGGAGUGGACGCAUCACUGGUGUUCGGGUUGUCAUGCCAAUGGCACUGCCCGGUAGCUAAAUGCGGAAGAGAUAAGUGCUGAAAGCAUCUAAGCACGAAACUUGCCCCGAGAUGAGUUCUCCCUGAGACUUUAAGUCUCCUGAAGGAACGUUGAAGACGACGACGUUGAUAGGCCGGGUGUGUAAGCGCAGCGAUGCGUUGAGCUAACCGGUACUAAUGAACCGUGAGGCUUAACCUU
RNAcentral lists this ribosomal RNA (2902 nucleotides) under Klebsiella pneumoniae. Its description in RNAcentral is "23S ribosomal RNA". It matches the Rfam family "Bacterial large subunit ribosomal RNA". The record is from RNAcentral. Lineage: Bacteria; Pseudomonadati; Pseudomonadota; Gammaproteobacteria; Enterobacterales; Enterobacteriaceae.